Molecule: ribosomal RNA, 253 nt
Filed under: uncultured bacterium
Lineage: Bacteria
Description: partial 16S ribosomal RNA
Rfam family: Bacterial small subunit ribosomal RNA
Source: RNAcentral
UACGUAGGUGGCAAGCGUUAUCCGGAUUUAUUGGGCGUAAAGGGAACGCAGGCGGUCUUUUAAGUCUGAUGUGAAAGCCUUCGGCUUAACCGGAGUAGUGCAUUGGAAACUGGGAGACUUGAGUGCGGAAGAGGAGAGUGGAACUCCAUGUGUAGCGGUGAAAUGCGUAGAUAUAUGGAAGAACACCAGUGGCGAAAGCGGCUCUCUGGUCUGUAACUGACGCUGAGGUUCGAAAGCGUGGGUAGCAAACAGU